RNAcentral lists this ribosomal RNA (302 nucleotides) under uncultured bacterium. RNAcentral's name for it is "partial 16S ribosomal RNA". It matches the Rfam family "Bacterial small subunit ribosomal RNA", at positions 508 to 807 of the family's 1533-position model. The record is from RNAcentral.
GCAGCCGCCGCGGGAAUACAGAGGGUGCGAGCGUUAAUCGGAUUUACUGGGCGUAAAGCGUGCGUAGGCGGCUUUUUAAGUCGGAUGUGAAAUCCCUAAGCUUAACUUAGGAAUUGCAUUCGAUACUGGGAAGCUAGAGUAUGGGAGAGGAUGGUAGAAUUCCAGGUGUAGCGGUGAAAUGCGUAGAGAUCUGGAGGAAUACCGAUGGCGAAGGCAGCCAUCUGGCCUAAUACUGACGCUGAGGUACGAAAGCAUGGGGAGCAAACAGGAUUAGAUACCCGUGUAGUCCCUGUCUCUUAUAC